CCUACGGGGCGCAGCAGUGAGGAAUAUUGGUCAAUGGACGAGAGUCUGAACCAGCCAAGUAGCGUGAAGGAUGACUGCCCUAUGGGUUGUAAACUUCUUUUAUAUGGGAAUAAAAUGUUCCACGUGUGGGAUUUUGUAUGUACCAUAUGAAUAAGGAUCGGCUAACUCCGUGCCAGCAGCCGCGGUAAUACGGAGGAUCCGAGCGUUAUCCGGAUUUAUUGGGUUUAAAGGGAGCGUAGGUGGAUUGUUAAGUCAGUUGUGAAAGUUUGCGGCUCAACCGUAAAAGUGCAGUUGAAACUUGCAGUCUUGAGUACAGUAGAGGUGGGCGGAAUUCGUGGUGUAGCGGUGAAAUGCUUAGAUAUCACGAAGAACUCCGAUUGCGAAGGCAGUUCACUGGACUGCAACUGACACUGAGGCUCGAAAGUGUGGGUAUCAAACAGGAUUAGAUACCCCUGUAGUC
RNAcentral lists this ribosomal RNA (460 nucleotides) under uncultured bacterium. RNAcentral describes it as "partial 16S ribosomal RNA". It matches the Rfam family "Bacterial small subunit ribosomal RNA", at positions 338 to 795 of the family's 1533-position model. The record is from RNAcentral.